This 834-nucleotide ribosomal RNA is filed under the name uncultured archaeon. RNAcentral describes it as "bacterial SSU rRNA". It matches the Rfam family "Archaeal small subunit ribosomal RNA", at positions 41 to 878 of the family's 1478-position model. The record is from RNAcentral.
UGAUUAAGCCAUGCAAGUCAAAUGUUCUUCGUGAACAUGGCGCAAUGCUCAGUAACACGUGGAUAACCUGCCCUCAGGUCCGGCAUAAUCUCGGGAAACUGAGGAUAAUUCCGGAUAUCCCUUUUCUGUUGGAAGACUUAAAGGGACAAAGAAUUUCGCCUGAGGAUGGGUCUGCGGCCUAUCAGGUUGUAGGGGGUGUAAGGUACCUCCUGGCCGACGACGGGUACGGGUUGUGAGAGCAAGAGCCCGGAGAUGGAUUCUGAGACAUGAAUCCAGGCCCUACGGGGCGCAGCAGGCGCGAAAACUUUACAAUGCAGGAAACUGUGAUAAGGAGACACCGAGUGCUCGCAUCAAAUGCGGGCUGUCCGCUUACUUAAAUCGUAAGCGUUAGCAAGGGCCGGGCAAGACCGGUGCCAGCCGCCGCGGUGAUACCGGUGGCCCGAGUGGUAGCCGCUUUUAUUGGGUCUAAAGGGUCCGUAGCCGGUUCGGUCAGUCCAUUGGGAAAUCCGGAUGCUCAACAUCCGGGCUCCCAGUGGAUACUGCCGAACUUGGGAUCGGGGGAGGUAAGAGGUACUAUAGGGGUAGGAGUGAAAUCUUGUAAUCCCUGUGGGACCACCUGUGGCGAAGGCGUCUUACCAAAACGAGUCCGACGGUGAGGGACGAAAGCUGGGGGCACGAACCGGAUUAGAUACCCGGGUAGUCCCAGCCGUAAACGAUGCUCGCUAGGUGUCAGGCAUGGCGUGACUGUGUUUGGUGCCGAAGGGAAGCCGUGAAGCGAGCCACCUGGGAAGUACGGCCGCAAGGCUGAAACUUAAAGGAAUUGGCGGGGGAGCA